GAUGAACGCUGGCGGCGUGCCUAAUACAUGCAAGUCGAGCGAACAGACGAGGAGCUUGCUCCUCUGACGUUAGCGGCGGACGGGUGAGUAACACGUGGAUAACCUACCUAUAAGACUGGGAUAACUUCGGGACACCGGAGCUAAUACCGGAUAAUAUAUUGAACCGCAUGGUUCAAUAGUGAAAGACGGUUUUGCUGUCACUUAUAGAUGGAUCCGCGCCGCAUUAGCUAGUUGGUAAGGUAACGGCCUACCAAGGCAACGAUGCGUAGCCGACCUGAGAGGGUGAUCGGCCACACGGGAACUGAGACACGGUCCAGACUCCUACGGGAGGCAGCAGUAGGGAAUCUGCCGCAAUGGGCGAAAGCUUGACGGAGCAACGCGGCGUGAGUGAUGAAGGUCUUCGGAUCGGAAAACUCUGUUAUUAGGGAAGAACAAAUGUGUAAGUAACUAUGCACGUCUUGACGGUACCUAAUCAGAAAGCCACGGCUAACUACGUG
This 497-nucleotide ribosomal RNA is filed under the name uncultured bacterium. RNAcentral describes it as "partial 16S ribosomal RNA". It matches the Rfam family "Bacterial small subunit ribosomal RNA", at positions 28 to 507 of the family's 1533-position model. The record is from RNAcentral.